Molecule: ribosomal RNA, 821 nt
Filed under: Bacillus amyloliquefaciens
Lineage: Bacteria; Bacillati; Bacillota; Bacilli; Caryophanales; Bacillaceae
Description: bacterial SSU rRNA
Rfam family: Bacterial small subunit ribosomal RNA
Source: RNAcentral
GCAAGUCGAGCGGACAGAUGGGAGCUUGCUCCCUGAUGUUAGCGGCGGACGGGUGAGUAACACGUGGGUAACCUGCCUGUAAGACUGGGAUAACUCCGGGAAACCGGGGCUAAUACCGGAUGGUUGUCUGAACCGCAUGGUUCAGACAUAAAAGGUGGCUUCGGCUACCACUUACAGAUGGACCCGCGGCGCAUUAGCUAGUUGGUGAGGUAACGGCUCACCAAGGCGACGAUGCGUAGCCGACCUGAGAGGGUGAUCGGCCACACUGGGACUGAGACACGGCCCAGACUCCUACGGGAGGCAGCAGUAGGGAAUCUUCCGCAAUGGACGAAAGUCUGACGGAGCAACGCCGCGUGAGUGAUGAAGGUUUUCGGAUCGUAAAGCUCUGUUGUUAGGGAAGAACAAGUGCCGUUCAAAUAGGGCGGCACCUUGACGGUACCUAACCAGAAAGCCACGGCUAACUACGUGCCAGCAGCCGCGGUAAUACGUAGGUGGCAAGCGUUGUCCGGAAUUAUUGGGCGUAAAGGGCUCGCAGGCGGUUUCUUAAGUCUGAUGUGAAAGCCCCCGGCUCAACCGGGGAGGGUCAUUGGAAACUGGGGAACUUGAGUGCAGAAGAGGAGAGUGGAAUUCCACGUGUAGCGGUGAAAUGCGUAGAGAUGUGGAGGAACACCAGUGGCGAAGGCGACUCUCUGGUCUGUAACUGACGCUGAGGAGCGAAAGCGUGGGGAGCGAACAGGAUUAGAUACGCUGGUAGUCCACGCCGUAAACGAUGAGUGCUAACUGUUAGGAGGUUUCCGCCCCUUAGUGCUGCAGCUAACGCA